AUCGCUUCUUGGCCUUUUGGCUAAGAUCAAGUGUAGUAUCUGUUCUUAUCAGUUAAUAUCUGAUACGUCCUCUAUCUGAGGACAAUAUAUUACAUGAAUUUUUGGAGCUCAGAGUUGGAAUAGGAGCUUGCUCUGUCCACACCACGCAUUGACCUGGUAUUGCAGUACCUCUAGGAAUGGUGCACCCCCU
RNAcentral lists this small nuclear RNA (190 nucleotides) under Jaculus jaculus (lesser Egyptian jerboa). RNAcentral's name for it is "U2 spliceosomal RNA (ENSJJAG00000004956.1)". It matches the Rfam family "U2 spliceosomal RNA". From Rfam's summary of the family: U2 is a small nuclear RNA (snRNA) component of the spliceosome (involved in pre-mRNA splicing). Complementary binding between U2 snRNA (in an area lying towards the 5' end but 3' to hairpin I) and the branchpoint sequence (BPS) of the intron results the bulging out of an unpaired adenosine, on the BPS, which initiates a nucleophilic attack at the intronic 5' splice site, thus starting the first of two transesterification reactions that mediate splicing. The record is from Rfam by way of RNAcentral. Lineage: Eukaryota; Metazoa; Chordata; Mammalia; Rodentia; Dipodidae.